RNAcentral lists this ribosomal RNA (448 nucleotides) under uncultured bacterium. Its description in RNAcentral is "bacterial SSU rRNA". It matches the Rfam family "Bacterial small subunit ribosomal RNA", at positions 398 to 839 of the family's 1533-position model. The record is from RNAcentral.
CGCGUGAGUGAAGAAGGCUUCGGGUUGUAAAGCUCUUUCAGCCGGGAAGAAAACGCACGCUCUAACAUAGCGUGUGGAUGACGGUACCGGACCAAGAAGCACCGGCUAACUACGUGCCAGCAGCCGCGGUAAUACGUAGGGUGCGAGCGUUAAUCGGAAUUACUGGGCGUAAAGCGUGCGCAGGCGGUUUUGUAAGACAGAUGUGAAAUCCCCGGGCUUAACCUGGGAACUGCGUUUGUGACUGCAAGGCUAGAGUACGGCAGAGGGGGGUGGAAUUCCGCGUGUAGCAGUGAAAUGCGUAGAGAUGCGGAGGAACACCGAUGGCGAAGCAACCCCCUGGGCCUGUACUGACGCUCAUGCACGAAAGCCGUGGGGAGCAAACAGGAUUAGAUACCUGGUAGUCCACGCCUAAACGAUGUCGACUAUCGNUCGGACAGCAAUGCACUGA